This is a long non-coding RNA of Homo sapiens (human), 661 nucleotides long. RefSeq lists it as uncharacterized. NCBI's taxonomy places the organism in Eukaryota, Metazoa, Chordata, Mammalia, Primates, Hominidae. The record is from RefSeq and is a predicted model, not a curated record. The transcript has 4 exons.
CUUUUAUAUCCUUGCUGAUUUUCUGUCUAGUUUUUAAAUCACUUGCUAAAAGAGGAACAUUGAAGUCUCAAACUAUAAUUGUGGGUUUACCUAGUUCUACUUUUAAUUGUUCCAGGCCUUGCUAUGACUUCAUAAAGAGCACACAGGACUUGGAGCCAAAUGAACCUGGUUGCAGUGAGAGGUUUCAGCCCCCAUCAGCCAAAUGCUCUUGAGCAGGCCUCAUCUGGAAAAUAAUGACUGUGUCUCAAAGGAUGACGAAGAGGAAUAAAUGAGCAAUGUGUUUCAAUGAGACAGUAUCGGCUGCGUCAAUGAUUGUAGUGCUAAUUGUUACAGACAUGACCACAAUGCCAAGGCGAAUGGGGACAAUGAAAUCCAUGGCUGGUUUUAAGGGCAGGUGCAGAGGAUCCAGCAUGUUAUUCUGAAACCCCAGAAGACGCUGCAGCUACCAAAUAGAAGGAGCCUGGAUCCCUGAAUGUCUUCAUGGAACAGAACAUUCUCCUCACUCCAGUCUGUUUGAACCAGAAUAUGACCUGAGCAAGAAAUAAGCCUUAAUUAUAUUUGACCAUAGAAUUCUGGUGAUAUUUCUAUGGCUGUAAGUCCAUGUUGAUUAAUACAAAGGGAUGCUGUAAAGCCUCUUCUAUUAAAAAAAGUUGCCCAAGGA